CUGGCGGCGUGCCUAAUACAUGCAAGUCGAACGGCUUUUCUAUGGAAGCUUGCGUCCACUGAGAAGAUAGUGGCGAACGGGUGAGUAACACGUGGGGUAACCUGCCCAUAAGAGGGGGGAUAACAUCCGGAAACGGGUGCUAAUACCGCAUAGUUUUCUUGAUCGCAUGAUUGAGAAAGGAAAGACGGCCUUUGUGCUGUCGCUUAUGGAUGGACCCGCGGCGUAUUAGUUAGUUGGUGAGGUAACGGCUCACCAAGACGAUGAUACGUAGCCGACCUGAGAGGGUGAUCGGCCACAUUGGGACUGAGACACGGCCCAAACUCCUACGGGAGGCAGCAGUAGGGAAUCUUCCGCAAUGGACGAAAGUCUGACGGAGCAACGCCGCGUGAGUGAAGAAAAGGUUUUCGGAUCGUAAAACUCUGUUGUCAGAGAAGAACAAGUUGGAGAGUAACUGCUCCAGCCUUGACGGUAUCUGACCAGAAAGCCACGGCUAACUACGUGCCAGCAGCGGC
Molecule: ribosomal RNA, 512 nt
Filed under: uncultured bacterium
Lineage: Bacteria
Description: bacterial SSU rRNA
Rfam family: Bacterial small subunit ribosomal RNA
Source: RNAcentral